CAGUUGUCCUGCCAAGGGCAUGGCUGGGUAGCUAUGUACGGAAUGGAUAAGCGCUGAAAGCAUCUAAGCGCGAAGCCAACUUCAAGAUAAGAUUUCCCACCGCAAGGGUAAGACCCCAGAAAGACUAUCUGGUUGAUAGGUCGAAGGUGUAAGUGCAGCAAUGUAUUUAGCUUAUCGAUACUAAUAGGUCGAGGACUUGACCAA
RNAcentral lists this ribosomal RNA (204 nucleotides) under Clostridioides difficile. RNAcentral's name for it is "partial 23S ribosomal RNA". It matches the Rfam family "Bacterial large subunit ribosomal RNA", at positions 2718 to 2925 of the family's 2925-position model. Lineage: Bacteria; Bacillati; Bacillota; Clostridia; Peptostreptococcales; Peptostreptococcaceae. The record is from RNAcentral.